Long non-coding RNA from Meriones unguiculatus (Mongolian gerbil), 688 nucleotides. RefSeq lists it as uncharacterized. The transcript has 2 exons. NCBI's taxonomy places the organism in Eukaryota, Metazoa, Chordata, Mammalia, Rodentia, Muridae. The record is from RefSeq and is a predicted model, not a curated record.
CUGUAUGGACCAGCAAGGGGUCAGGAAUGCAUCACAGAGAAUCUCAGCCCUAUUCUAGCUUGCUUUCUGUUGCUGUGUGUGGGCCCCGUAGGCUCCUAUGUUUGAAUGCUUAGUCACCAGGGUGUGGAACUAUUUGAGAGAGUCACAAGGGUUAGGAGGUGUGUCAACGGGGGUGGGCUUUGAGGUGUCAGACGUUCGUGCCAGCUCUCUCUGGAUCAGGAUACAGCUCUUUGCUACUACCCCAAUACCUGUCUGCCUGCACGCCAGAACCCUGCCCACCAUGAUGACCGUGGACUAAGCCUCUGAAAUGAGACAGACUUUCUUCCUUGAGCUCCGGAUUGUGAAUUUCCUGCUUAGAUUCAGAACAUGCUGAGAACAAGGAUUCAGCUACAGAAACCUCAGAAGAGCGACGCACCCUACAACAAAUCUCCACAGAUAUAAAAGAAAGUAACAGCCUUCGAGUCAUAAUGACACAGACCCAAGUGGCCGUCUCUCCCCUCUUCAGCCUCUACACCCAGGUUUCGAUGCUUCUGAAGAAGGAUGUGCUAACUAGUCCAAUUCCUGUAACUCUGAGUCCCACUCUGGAGGGAUGACACACAGGCUCUCUCCAAAGUGGCAGGAUCAACAGAGGUUCUGUGGUGGGUCUUGUCCCCACUUUCCCCGAGAAUAAAACCUUGCUGAUUCCAAA